AUUGCCUGGUGAACAUCUUGCAAGCCUCCUUGUACAUUCCCUUCUUAAACUUUUCUUUGCCCACCUCUCUUUCAAUCCUAGCCAUCUCUUCUUCCACCACUCUCCAAAACAAAUCAUAGCUCACUUUCACUCCAAGCCCAUCUCCAUCCAACUCCACUCCAUACUUUAGCCAUUGCCAAUUCUGGACUCUGCUAAUCUCAGCAGUGGCAGCAUCUUCCAUCAGGUUGUAAAGAGGCACGGAGCCUGUUCCAGUGAGCCAUGCAGCCAAAUACUGGAUCCCAACCCUGGUGUUCAGGCGGAGACCUUCCAUGGUACGCACUCCUCGAGGCCGCUGUAACAGGUCUUCCUCUGUUAUAUUUGCAGCAUCUUCUCGUUUCAUGACCUGAAUCUGGUGGGGGAUAUUUCCCAUGUUGUUUGUGAAGACUUCCAUGCAGACUGGGAUAAGUCCAGGAUGUGCUGCCCAUGUUCCAUCA
This 473-nucleotide unclassified non-coding RNA is filed under the name Hevea brasiliensis (rubber tree). Lineage: Eukaryota; Viridiplantae; Streptophyta; Magnoliopsida; Malpighiales; Euphorbiaceae. The record is from RNAcentral.